UGCCUUGGGANGGAACCCCCCGGGUANCUGGGGCUAAUUUCCGAUAGGUGAAGGCUCCUGGAAUGGAUCUUCGCCUAAAGGGCGCUUAGGCCAUGCUUCUAGGCGCUGCCCAAGGAUGGGGCCGCGGCCGAUCAGGUUGUUGGUGAGGUAAUGGCUCACCAAGCCUUUAACCGGUUCGGGCCGUGGGAGCGGGAGCCCGGAGAUGGGCACUGAGACAAGGGCCCAGGCCCUACGGGGCGCAGCAGUCGCGAAAACUCCGCAAUACGCGAAGGCGUGACGGGGCUAUCCCGAGUGCCGUCCGCUGAGGAUGGCUUUUCCCCAGUGUAGAUAGCUGGGGGAAUAAGGAGAGGGCAAGUCUGGUGUCAGCCGCCGCGGUAAUACCAGCUCUCCGAGUGGUGGGGACGUUUAUUGGGCCUGAAGCAUCCGUAGCCAGCUGAGCAAGUCCCCAGUUAAAUCCAGCGAUUUAAUCGUUGGACUGCUGGGGAUACUGUCCGGCUAGGGGGUGGGAGAGGCCGACGGUAUUCCCGGGGUAGGGGUGAAAUCCUAUAAUCCCGGGAGGACCACCAGUGGCGAANGCUGUUGGCUAGAACAUGCCCGACGGUGANGGAUGAAAGCUGGGGGAGCGAAACCGGAUUAGAUACCCGGGUAGUCCCAGCUGUAACGAUGCAGGCUAGGUGUUAGGGCGGCCACGUGCCGCUCUANUGCCNCAGGAAACU
RNAcentral lists this ribosomal RNA (716 nucleotides) under uncultured crenarchaeote. RNAcentral describes it as "bacterial SSU rRNA". It matches the Rfam family "Archaeal small subunit ribosomal RNA", at positions 111 to 812 of the family's 1478-position model. Lineage: Archaea; Thermoproteati; Thermoproteota. The record is from RNAcentral.